GCAUCUUCCUCCCCUCUCCUGCUACUCCUCCAUCCUUGUCCCUACUCCCCCCAAUAGCCCUGUUGAAUAGUCCCCUUCUCUCUAGUCCCCACCUUCAGCCCUCCCACCCGCCCUCAGCCACACCAGGUGAGCCAUCAAUCUCAUCGAAAGGUUCCCCUACUGCCCCCAGCAUUCAGAAGUUCCAGGGCUGUGGGCACCUGGAAACUUGACCUUACAAACAAGGACUGCAGAACCAUGGAGCCAGUGCGGAGUGCCUCUCUGUUGACUUCCGUGCUGCCUGGGUCCUGGCAGCUGAUCCUAACCAAGAAGGAACCCAGAGAUUUCUAGAGAAGUCAGCCCCCUGAGGACACCAGUAUUUCUCAGUUCACAGGGGUGGACUGAAGGGUCCAGAGUAAAGCCCUGGGUGGAAAGAAUACACAUGGACAUGUUGCGU
RNAcentral lists this long non-coding RNA (433 nucleotides) under Mus pahari (shrew mouse). Its description in RNAcentral is "lncRNA (MGP_PahariEiJ_G0003769.1)". Lineage: Eukaryota; Metazoa; Chordata; Mammalia; Rodentia; Muridae. The record is from RNAcentral.